CCUACGGGCGGCAGCAGUGGGGAAUAUUGCACAAUGGGGGGAACCCUGAUGCAGCAACGCCGCGUGAGUGAAGAGUUAUUUCGGUAUGUAAAGCUCUAUCAGCAGGGAAGCAGAUGACGGUACCUGAGUAAGCAGCCCCGGCUAACUACGUGCCAGCAGCCGCGGUAAUACGUCGGGGGCAAGCGUUAUCCGGAUUUACUGGUUGGAAAGGGGGCUUAGACGGGCAGGCAAGUCUGGAGGGAAAGCCCGGGGCUCAACCCCGGGACUGAUUGGGAAACGGCCUGGCUGGAGUGCUGGAGAGGCAAGCGGAAUUCCUAGUGUAGCGGUGAAAUGCGUAGAUAUUAGGAAGAACACCAGUGGCGAAGGCGGCUUGCUGGACAGUAACUGACGUUGAGGCUCGAAAGCGUGGGGAGCAAACAGGAUUAGAUACCCCAGUAGUC
RNAcentral lists this ribosomal RNA (440 nucleotides) under uncultured bacterium. Its description in RNAcentral is "partial 16S ribosomal RNA". It matches the Rfam family "Bacterial small subunit ribosomal RNA", at positions 338 to 795 of the family's 1533-position model. The record is from RNAcentral.